This 504-nucleotide ribosomal RNA is filed under the name uncultured microorganism. Its description in RNAcentral is "bacterial SSU rRNA". It matches the Rfam family "Bacterial small subunit ribosomal RNA", at positions 9 to 503 of the family's 1533-position model. The record is from RNAcentral.
GAGUUUGAUCAUGGCUCAGGAUGAACGCCGGCGGUGUGCCUAAUACAUGCAAGUCGUACGCACUGGCCCAACUGAUUGAUGGUGCUUGCACCUGAUCGACGAUGGAUCACCAGUGAGUGGCGGACGGGUGAGUAACACGUAGGUAACCUGCCCUGUACAGGGGGAUAACAAUCAGAAAUGACUGCUAAUUCCGCAUAAGACCACAGCACCGCAUGGUGCAGGGGUAAAAACUCCGGUGGUACAGGAUGGACCCGCGUCUGAUUAGCUGGUUGGUGAGGUAACGGCUCACCAAGGCGACGAUCAGUAGCCGGCUUGAGAGAGUGAACGGCCACAUUGGGACUGAGACACGGCCCAAACUCCUACGGGAGGCAGCAGUGGGGAAUAUUGCACAAUGGGGAAACCCUGAUGCAGCAACGCCGCGUGAGUGAAGAAGUAUUUCGGUAUGUAAAGCUCUAUCAGCAGGGAAGAAAGUGACGGUACCUGACUAAGAAGCCCGGCUAACCG